AACCUAGCACACCUGCGGUGUGUACCUGCGGAAGGAUCAUUACACAAUACAAUAUGAAGGCUGUCCGCAGCUGGAGUAUUUUAUUACCCUUGUCUUUUGCGCACUCGUUGUUUCCUGGGCGGGUUCGCUCGCCACCAGGACCACCAAAUAAACCAUUUUUAUGCAGUUGCAAUCAGCGUCAGUACAAACAAUGUAAAUCAUUUACAACUUUCAGCAACGGAUCUCAGAUCGGAAGAGCAC
This 240-nucleotide unclassified non-coding RNA is filed under the name soil metagenome. RNAcentral describes it as "partial contains 5.8S ribosomal RNA, internal transcribed spacer 2, and large subunit ribosomal RNA". The record is from RNAcentral.